Molecule: transfer RNA, 72 nt
Filed under: Phrynosoma platyrhinos (Desert horned lizard)
Lineage: Eukaryota; Metazoa; Chordata; Lepidosauria; Squamata; Phrynosomatidae
Description: tRNA-OTHER
Source: RNAcentral
GCCAGCAUGGUGUAGUGGUUUCAGCAUUAGACAAUGACUCUGAAGACCAGGGUUCAAAUCUUGGCUUGGGCA